Molecule: ribosomal RNA, 504 nt
Filed under: uncultured bacterium
Lineage: Bacteria
Description: partial 16S ribosomal RNA
Rfam family: Bacterial small subunit ribosomal RNA
Source: RNAcentral
ACUCAAAGGAAUAGACGGGGGCCCGCACAAGCGGUGGAGCAUGGGGAUUAAUUCGUCACUAACCGAAGAACCUUACCCAGGCUUGACAUCCGGAGUAAGUCCGUGAAAGCGGUACCCCUCCCUCGAAAGAGGGAGCUUCGAGACAGGUGUUGCAUGGCUGUCGUCAGCUCGUGUCGUGAGAUGUUGGGUUAAGUCCCGCAACGAGCGCAACCCUCACGCGAUGUUGCCAGCGUCAAGUCGGGCACUCUUCGCGAACUGCCCGGGUAACCGGGAGGAAGGUGGGGAUGACGUCAAGUCGGCAUGGCCCUUACGCCUGGGGCUUCACCCAUGCUACAAUGGGCGCGACAGAGGGGUGCAAGACCGCGAGGUGGAGCCAAUCCCAAAAACGCGCUCUCAGUUCGGAUUGCAGGCUGCAACUCGCCUGCAUGAAGUCGGAAUCGCUAGUAACCGCCGGUCAGCCAAACGGCGGUGAAUACGUUCCCGGGCCUUGUACACACCGCCCGU